CGGAGGACAUUAUUGAUUUUGAUUUGUUACCUUCUGUGCUGGCUCCGGCAUGUGCACGUUGGUGACUUUCAUCCAAUACCCAUUUGUGAACCUUUGGCCUCAUGCUGGCUUUGGCUGGCGGAGGAUUUUACACAAACUUGAAUGUAACAGAAAGAUCUUGUUGUGCGCAAGCACUAAUAUACAACUUUCAACAACGGAUCUCUUGGCUCUCGCAUCGAUGAAGAACGCAGCGAAAUGCGAUAAGUAAUGUGAAUUGCAGAAUUCAAUGAAUCAUCGAAUCUUUGAACGCACCUUGCACCCAUUGGUAUUCCAAAGGGUAUGCUCGUUUGAGUGUCAUUGUACUCUCACACUCCAAUUUUGGAGAAGUGGACUUGGGUGUUGCUGCUUUGCAGUGGCUCAUCUUAAAUACGCUAGUGCAACUCAUAGUUGGAUAUAGUACAGCGUGAUAAGUAUCUUCGCUGGCGCCUCAUGAACAGGGUAUCCGAUUGGGAACUCUGUGCUUCUAACAGUCCUGUCUGGGACAAUCUCUGACAACUUGGCCUCAAAUCGAGUAGGACUACCCGCUGAACUUAAUCAUAUCAUAGC
This 585-nucleotide small RNA is filed under the name Sebacina sp. 149. RNAcentral describes it as "eukaryotic LSU rRNA". The stretch from base 183 to 336 matches the Rfam family "5.8S ribosomal RNA". The record is from RNAcentral. Lineage: Eukaryota; Fungi; Basidiomycota; Agaricomycetes; Sebacinales; Sebacinaceae.